This 358-nucleotide ribosomal RNA is filed under the name uncultured bacterium. Its description in RNAcentral is "partial 16S ribosomal RNA". It matches the Rfam family "Bacterial small subunit ribosomal RNA", at positions 338 to 693 of the family's 1533-position model. The record is from RNAcentral.
CCUACGGGAGGCAGCAGUGAGGAAUAUUGGUCAAUGGGCGCGAGCCUGAACCAGCCAAGUAGCGUGAAGGAUGACUGCCCUACGGGUUGUAAACUGCUUUUAUAAAGGAAUAAAGUGAGUCACGUGUGCCUUUUUGUAUGUACUUUAUGAAUAAGGAUCGGCUAAAUCCGUGCCAGCAGCCGCGGUAAUACGGAGGAUCCGAGCGUUAUCCGGAUUUAUUGGGUUUAAAGGGAGCGUAGAUGGGUUGUUAAGUCAGUUGUGAAAGUUUGAGGCUAAACCGGAACAUUGCAAUUGAUACUGGCAGUGUUGAGCACAGUUGAGGUAGGCGGAAUUCGUGGUGUAGCGGUGAAAUGCUUAG